This 484-nucleotide ribosomal RNA is filed under the name uncultured bacterium. RNAcentral describes it as "partial 16S ribosomal RNA". It matches the Rfam family "Bacterial small subunit ribosomal RNA", at positions 30 to 507 of the family's 1533-position model. The record is from RNAcentral.
AUUGAACGCUGGCGGCAGGCCUAACACAUGCAAGUCGAGCGGAUGAAGGGAGCUUGCUCCUGGAUUCAGCGGCGGACGGGUGAGUAAUGCCUAGGAAUCUGCCUGGUAGUGGGGGAUAACGUCCGGAAACGGGCGCUAAUACCGCAUACGUCCUGAGGGAGAAAGGGGGGGAUCUUCGGACCUCACGCGAUCAGAUGAGCCUAGGUCGGAUUAGCUAGUUGGUGGGGUAAAGGCCUACCAAGGCGACGAUCCGUAACUGGUCUGAGAGGAUGAUCAGUCACACUGGAACUGAGACACGGUCCAGACUCCUACGGGAGGCAGCAGUGGGGAAUAUUGGACAAAGGGCGAAAGCCUGAUCCAGCCAUGCCGCGUGUGUGAAGAAGGUCUUCGGAUUGUAAAGCACUUUAAGUUGGGAGGAAGGGCAGUAAGUUAAUACCUUGCUGUUUUGACGUUACCAACAGAAUAAGCACCGGCUAACUUCGUG